RNAcentral lists this non-coding RNA (70 nucleotides) under Candidatus Syntropharchaeum caldarium. RNAcentral's name for it is "Candidatus Syntrophoarchaeum caldarius Fluoride riboswitch aptamer (crcB RNA motif)". It matches the Rfam family "Fluoride riboswitch aptamer (crcB RNA motif)". RNAcentral also lists the same sequence under 1 other name. Lineage: Archaea; Methanobacteriati; Halobacteriota; Candidatus Syntropharchaeia; Candidatus Syntropharchaeales. The record is from Rfam by way of RNAcentral.
GAUGAUAGUGGUGAUGAGGUCCACCUUGGUUUAUGCCAAAACCGCUACAGCUAAUGACUUCUAAAUAAAA